Molecule: ribosomal RNA, 744 nt
Filed under: Paenarthrobacter nitroguajacolicus
Lineage: Bacteria; Bacillati; Actinomycetota; Actinomycetes; Micrococcales; Micrococcaceae
Description: partial 23S ribosomal RNA
Rfam family: Bacterial large subunit ribosomal RNA
Source: RNAcentral
CUUGUAUGCUUGAUGUUCUAACGUUGGCCCCUUAUCGGGGUUGCGGACAGUGCCUGGUGGGUAGUUUGACUGGGGCGGUCUCCUCCCAAAGAGUAACGGAGGAGCACGAAGGUGGGCUAAACACGGUUGGACAUCGUGUGGUUAGUGCAAUGGCAUAAGCCCGCUUGACUGCGAGAAUGACAAUUCGAGCAGGUGCGAAAGCAGGUCAUAGUGAUCCGGUGGUUCUGAAUGGAAGGGCCAUCGCUCAACGGAUAAAAGGUACUCCGGGGAUAACAGGCUGAUACCGCCCAAGAGUUCAUAUCGACGGCGGUGUUUGGCACCUCGAUGUCGGCUCAUCACAUCCUGGGGCUGAAGUCGGUCCCAAGGGUAUGGCUGUUCGCCAUUUAAAGUGGUACGCGAGCUGGGUUUAGAACGUCGUGAGACAGUUCGGUCCCUAUCUGCCGUGGGCGUUGGAAAAUUGAAAGGGGCUGCUCCUAGUACGAGAGGACCGGAGUGGACGAACCUCUGGUGUUCGGGUUGUCAUGCCAAUGGCAUUGCCCGGUAGCUAAGUUCGGAAUCGAUAACCGCUGAAAGCAUCUAAGCGGGAAGCGAGCCUUGAGAUGAGUUUUCCCUGGCACUAUAAGUGUCCUAAAGGGUUGUCGUAGACUACGACGUUGAUAGGCAGGGUGUGUAAGUGCUGCGAGGCAUUGAGCUAACCUGUACUAAUUGCCCGUGAGGCUUAACCAUACAACACCCAAGGGGUUU